GUAGGUUGAAAUCGGAUACAACUAAAAGUUAUUUUUAAUUGUAUCCGGUCUUCAUUUUAG
RNAcentral lists this microRNA precursor (60 nucleotides) under Drosophila melanogaster (fruit fly). Its description in RNAcentral is "microRNA dme-mir-4909 precursor". Lineage: Eukaryota; Metazoa; Arthropoda; Insecta; Diptera; Drosophilidae. The record is from miRBase by way of RNAcentral.